UGAAAGACAAGGGUUCUAAAGAAAGGAGGAGAGGAUUAUAAGAGGGUUUGUUAAAGAGAGAGAAAGAUGGGAGAAAUAAUGGGUGUGUUGAGUAGUUUCCGGCAGCUUGAUGAAAACUCUGUCAAGUAACAUAACAGUUUACCAGGAGGGAAAAAUAGGGGGAGAAGGAUGAACACAGCACGAAAUUGCUAGGUUUUGGAAGCAAGAGAGGAAGCUUGCUCUCUAGAUGUGGAUUGAGUGAAUUUCCAGUUGCUUGACAAAGCUUGGUCGUACUCUGGAUGAUGAUUUUUGCUGGGUAGAGGAGGCUCAUUUUAUAGGCACUUAGAACCCUAAUUCUAUCGAUCUUCCAUUCCCACUUUUCCUUUGCUUCUUUCCAUUCACUCCUUUUUGUGAAAUUUCUUUAACGAAAGCACAUGGGUCACAGGCUUUUUAGGGUUCCAAGGUUUUUGUGUGGCUAGACCUCCCCCAUGGUGGUGAGGCGCCACCUACUUUCUCCCUUGGUUUUUAAAGUAGAGCUUACAGAGGAAAAGAGAAUGGGUAGAGUCGUUUUGCCUAAUGGGUAUUCCUCCUAUACGUACAAAUUCCCUUUGGUUUUUCUGAUGACUUGCGUUAGGUUUGUCUUUGGCCAUGUACUGGAGUCUCCCAGUAGCCUGAGCGUACAAACAUCUCCUGGUUUUUUAUCGUGGUUUCAUUUCAAA
This 698-nucleotide long non-coding RNA is filed under the name Prunus persica (peach). RNAcentral describes it as "long non-coding RNA (PPER_LNC006006)". The record is from RNAcentral. Lineage: Eukaryota; Viridiplantae; Streptophyta; Magnoliopsida; Rosales; Rosaceae.